Long non-coding RNA from Drosophila miranda, 708 nucleotides. RefSeq lists it as uncharacterized. NCBI's taxonomy places the organism in Eukaryota, Metazoa, Arthropoda, Insecta, Diptera, Drosophilidae. The record is from RefSeq and is a predicted model, not a curated record. The transcript is spliced from 2 exons.
CCUUCAGUGUAACCGCUGAUUCCUAUUUUUAUGCUAUAGUGUCAUUAGUGUAAUUAGCUUAGUAAAUUUCUUUUGGUUGUGUUUUUAAAUUCUGUUCGGAAGAAAUAGCAAGUGGAAUGUGUGACAGGGCGAAAGUGAACAACGGUUAAACGGCAGAGGAGAGCGUGAGUUUUUUUUUUGUAAAAGUAUUUCUCCAGCUUUCGUUUUAGGAACGUUGCCGCAGUCCAUGGAAGCGCUUUCAUCGCUGUUUCAACGCAUUUAUUAAAACAAAUCAAAGGAAGGCCUCAGGGGCUUCGUCGCUUAAGAGAGGCUGUGCGCUCUCCCUUAUGCCCUACUGGCAACCAUAAGCGCUUACGCCGCGCAUAAGAACCAGCCCUCUUAAGAACAAGGCACAAAAGGGAAGAUGCGAGGCUGGUCGCUCUGACGUUCUUUUAUGCUUUCUACUUGCGGUUGCUUUCGCUAAUGCACUUGAAUAACUGACCUGCCAUAACGAUCGCGGCGCACAGUUUUUACAUUCCCUUUUGCAUAUUUAUUUAUUAUUAUUAUCUAUUUGCCUAACAUAAAAGCUGGAGAUAUGUACCCUUCCCUUCUUUCAAUUUGUAAGUUAAAUUUCAAUCUAAAGUGUAUUAUUAAGAGUUAAUCAUUUAUUAGUUUACUAGUGCGAUGCAUGUGCUAUUGCUCAAUAUGAAAUAUAGGAUUUAACAUGAA